RNAcentral lists this ribosomal RNA (1405 nucleotides) under uncultured bacterium. RNAcentral describes it as "16S ribosomal RNA". It matches the Rfam family "Bacterial small subunit ribosomal RNA". The record is from RNAcentral.
UUAGAGUUUGAUCCUGGCUCAGGAUGAACGCUAGCGGCAGGCUUAACACAUGCAAGUCGAGGGGCAGCAGGGAGUAGCAAUACUCUGCUGGCGACCGGCGCACGGGUGCGUAACGCGUAUGCAACCUACCUUAAACAGGGGAAUAACUCAGGGAAACUUGAACUAAUGCCCCAUAUUCUUGCGGGAUCGCAUGGUCUUGCAAGGAAAGCCUUGGUGGUUUUAGAUGGGCAUGCGUGACAUUAGGUAGUUGGCGGGGCAACGGCCCACCAAGCCGACGAUGUCUAGGGGAGCUGAGAGGCUUAUCCCCCACACUGGUACUGAGACACGGACCAGACUCCUACGGGAGGCAGCAGUGAGGAAUAUUGGUCAAUGGACGGAAGUCUGAACCAGCCAUGCCGCGUGAAGGAAGAAUGCCCUAUGGGUUGUAAACUUCUUUUGUUCGAGAGUAAUAAGCGGGAUGCGUCCCGUGAUGAGAGUAUCGGACGAAUAAGCAUCGGCUAACUCCGUGCCAGCAGCCGCGGUAAUACGGAGGAUGCAAGCGUUAUCCGGAUUUAUUGGGUUUAAAGGGUGCGUAGGCGGACGACUAAGUCAGCGGUGAAAUAUCCCGGCUCCACCGGGAGGCUGCCGUUGAUACUGGUCGCCUUUGAGUACGAACGGGCGCCGGGCGGGAAUAUGUUAAUGUAGCGGUGAAAUGCAUAGAUAUUACAUAGAAAACCGGAUCGCGAAGGCAGCUGGCGAGGACGUCACUGACGCUGAGGCACGAAGGCGUGGGGAUCAAACAGGAUUAGAUACCCUGGUAGUCCACGCAGUAAACGAUGAAAAGUUGUUGUCGGCGAUAGGACAGUCGGUGACAAAGGGAAAGCGAUAAGUUAUCCACCUGGGGGAGGUAGGAUCGCAAGGUGGAAACUCAAAGGAAUUGACGGGGGCCCGCACAAGCGGAGGAGCAUGUGGUUUAAUUCGAUGAUACGCGAGGAACCUUACCUAGACUCAAAUGUUGAGCGACCGACCCAGAAAUGGGUCUUUCCUUCGGGACGCUUAGCAAGGUGCUGCAUGGUUGUCGUCAGCUCGUGCCGUGAGGUGUCAGGCUAAGUCCUAUAACGAGCGCAACCCCUACGUCCAGUUGCCAGCGGGUAGAGCCGGGGACUCUGGACGGACUGCCGGCGCAAGCCGAGAGGAAGGUGGGGAUGACGUCAAAUCAGCACGGCCCUUACGUCUAGGGCGACACACGUGCUACAAUGGCCGGUACAGAGGGCAGCUACGCCGCGAGGCGAUGCGAAUCUCGAAAAGCCAUCCCAGUUCGGAUCGGAGUCUGCAACUCGACUCCGUGAAGUUGGAUUCGCUAGUAAUCGCGCAUCAGCCAUGGCGCGGUGAAUACGUUCCCGGGCCUUGUACACACCGCCCGUCA